Molecule: transfer RNA, 66 nt
Filed under: Anagonalia melichari
Lineage: Eukaryota; Metazoa; Arthropoda; Insecta; Hemiptera; Cicadellidae
Description: tRNA-Asn
Source: RNAcentral
UUAAUUGAAACCAAAAUGAGGUAACUUAUUGUUAAUAAGAUAAUUGAAUAUAUUAUUCCAAUUAAA